Molecule: long non-coding RNA, 1187 nt
Filed under: Vulpes vulpes (red fox)
Lineage: Eukaryota; Metazoa; Chordata; Mammalia; Carnivora; Canidae
Description: lncRNA (ENSVVUG00000012089.1)
Source: RNAcentral
CGGCCCCCGCCCCCCCCCCCCCCGCCCCCUGCAGCCGGCCUCCUGGGCGCCGCGGUGGGGGCCUCCGGGGCGGGCGGGUGCCGGGCUGGGCUGCGGCGUCUGCUCCGGCCCGUCCUCCCUGCCACGUCGCUGUGGCCUCCCCCAAGGGCCUGCCGAGGCGACGGAGCCAAGGCCUUGGCCCCCCUCACCCCUCCCGGGCUUGCUCUGUAACAGGGCUCGGUCUGACCUGGCCGCUUCCCGGGCGGAGGNCCCCCCCCCCCCCCCCCGCCCCUGCGCCCAGGCCUGCGGGAGGGGCCCCGGUGCCUGUGAGGUGCCGAGGUCAGCACCCCGGGCUCGGAGCCCGUCUUGGCCUGGGCAGCCGGAGGGCGUCGUUGGUGUGUGCGGGCCUGGAGCCCCCCGGCUGGGAGCGGGGCAGCCGUCGCGGGUCAGGCCGGCCUUGCGCAUCCACCUCCCGGGUUCCUUCUGCCCAUCCAGGAGCAGCCUCGGUUAUCGCAGGAACCGGCGCACCUGGGUUCAGUCCCCGCCCCGAUGGCCCGGCUGUGCAGCUUUGGGCCGGUGGCUUCGCCUUGCGGGGACCGGUUUCCUCAUCUGCAGAAUGGGUAUCCCAUAGCCCCCGUCUGGUCACAUCACACAGAUCAAGAGGUAACGUGUGCGAUGCUGCAGGGCCAGCCCCGGCCCUCAGAAACCUGGCGCUGAUGAUCUGGAAGGAUGAACCCCCGGAUUGUGCUGCUCGGGCCAGAGGAGGUUUAGAGUUGCAAAUCCAUGAUAAGUUGGGCCUUUUUGGAGAAGGUUCUCCUACUGCUAAGUCAACAUGCCCAGGUCUGGGUCUUCAGACACUGCCAGCGUGGAAUCCCGCAGUUUGGUUUGAAGAGAAACUAACUUCUGGUUCUAAACCGGUCACAACGAGGGACCUCUGUAAGCGGCCAGCCAGGGCCAGCGCUUCGUUUCCACCAAUGAUGCCAAAACCGCUUUACACACCAGCAGACUUACAAGGCAGACAGCACAUCUUCAUGUGGUCUGCACAAACUCUCGAGCAGAGGGGGAAAGACACGUUCACAGUCAGUCCCGAUGUCACUGUAACACUCUUAAAAGAGUUUUAUUUAUUCCUGAGACACACAGAGAGAGGCAGGCCUCCUGCGGGAACCCGAUGCGGGACUCGAUCCCAGGACCCCGGGAUCAUGACCUGA